This 327-nucleotide long non-coding RNA is filed under the name Rattus norvegicus (Norway rat). Its description in RNAcentral is "long non-coding RNA NONRATT006702". Lineage: Eukaryota; Metazoa; Chordata; Mammalia; Rodentia; Muridae. The record is from RNAcentral.
AGAUAUCCCGGAUGGACUCAGGGCCCACGAAGACCGGGUUGGCUCAUACAGCGACUUUCACAUUCCCACAGGCUUUAGACUUUGAGCCUGAAGGAGACAUCUCCCUUUUUCUGCACCACACUCCAAGACACAUUUCUCUGGCUGGUUUCAAGGUUUACAAGAGUUAUCUACAUCCGGGGAGCAACCAUGAAACACGUGCCAUUCCAGCCUCAUUGUCCCAUUGGUUCAUAAGGAAACUGAGUUGUGAAAAAGUAAAAGGCUUCUCCACUGUAUCUUGGCUAAGGAGGUUUGACCAUAAAUGUUACUAAGGAAGUUGCUAAUAGGAAA